GUACAAGGUCCUGAAGCAGGUGC
This 23-nucleotide non-coding RNA is filed under the name Cricetulus griseus (Chinese hamster). The record is from RNAcentral. Lineage: Eukaryota; Metazoa; Chordata; Mammalia; Rodentia; Cricetidae.